AGAAUGAUAGAAUGAACAAUAGAAUCAUAGAAGAUAGAUGGAUAGAUAGAAUGGACAAUAGAAUAAUAGAUUGUUGAAUAGAUAGAAUGAGAGAUCAAUAGAAGACAGAUAGACAGACGGGUGGAUGACAUAUAGCCUACGUAUAUCUAGUAUUCCUGUCAUCACUUUCUUCAUUCAACCCAACGGCUGAAUUAUUGAAGUCAGGUUUCCUGAAGCAAACACAUGAUGUUAGUGCGUCCAUGUGGAUCUAAUGCAACAAUGUUAUCUGAAGGGGUGUGUCUCUCUAAGGGGACACAUGGGCAGACGGCUAAACAUGUCAGGGAUAUUGGAUGUGUUAUGGCGGUAUUUGCUAGAGGUGUCUUCCUCAACUUUGCCUCGGACUCUGAUGAGCUGAGGGACCGCUAUUCCCCAGGUGCAGUGUGUAGGAUUUGGCGGCAUCUAGGGGUGAGGUCGCAGAUUGCAACCAACAGAAAGCGUGUAGGAGAACUACAGCGACCCGAUGCGAAAACGUGAAUGCCCCUAUCGGCCAGUUCUGUGAAGAUGACCUGCUCUGUAUGUAGAUAUAAACGGCUUAUUCUAAGGUAAAGAGACACAACAAUUCUUAUUUUCAGCUGAUUGUACACUAAAGAAAACAUACAUAUUAAUAUUAUAUUCCCACCAAAUGUUGGCAUAGUGUUCCUUUAAUAAACAGUACGAUGUUAUGUUACUGAAAAAAAACACUUGGAAAUGGUGUGUUUUAAACAUCAGAGAAGGGAUUAUUGUAUAAAUUAAUUAUCUAAUAUGGGAUUAAAGUGUUCACUUUGGUACAUAAGUGCAAAAAACUCCAUUGACUGGAGAGGAAAACAAAUCCCUCAUUUCCACAUUAGUCACUACAGCACCAUUGACCUUCAUCUUAAACACACAAAAACACGUAUUAUAUGCGAGACAUCUCAAGCCUUCAUUAUUAAUCAUGUUUGCUAGUGCGUACAGAUUGUGUGCUUGUUUAAAUAAAAGGGAACAGGGAGGCUUUUAAAGCUGUUAUCAACUGCUCAUCUGCCUUAGCUCUUGCCAGGCAGAGUUGUGCUCACGAUACAAAAUCGCCUCAGCAUGGAAAAAAAGGAGGAAACAGACAUUUUGCUGGUUUGUUGACGUCCGCUGAGUGAGAAAAGUUCAGCCGCGGCCAACUCCUCUCGGCCAGCAGGCUUGUUGACUGUCCGCGUGUCAGCCAGGGGUCCCCGGUCUCUCGGCUCUAUAGGACAUGUUGACUUGUUGUUCACAGCACUCUCAGUGCAGAGUCACAGCGACUGUGCUGAAGAAGUGCCACUUCAUCAAUUUAAUUAAAACUACUAUCAGCAUUAAGCAUUGCAUCAGUCAGUAACUGGAACAAUGUGACACAGCUUUAAAUAUUGUUUCAGCACUUU
Molecule: long non-coding RNA, 1400 nt
Organism: Sebastes umbrosus (honeycomb rockfish)
Lineage: Eukaryota; Metazoa; Chordata; Actinopteri; Perciformes; Sebastidae
Exons: 3
Source: RefSeq, a predicted model, not a curated record